GCCCGUCUGCCGGGGAAUGCCAUGGAGCGAGGGGCGUGCGCGCCGGGGGCGGGCCCGGCUGAAGGGGGCGGCCGCGUGACUCAGGGCUCAGGAAUGCGCGCGGCCCGCCCCGCCAGAGCCACCUCCUCCGGGAGGACGGCGGGGACAACUCUGGCUGGGGGUCGAAAGCGCUUUGGUCGGGGCAGGAGGACCUGGUGGCCCAGCUGGACCAAAUCUGAUGGUCAACCUCACCCGCUCCCGGACCCGGAGGGCCCUUUGCUGGCCUGGGACCAGGAGGCAGUGGUCUUCUAUGAAGAGAGGAGCUGCCUUGGUCAGCCAGGAGCUCGGCCAGAGCAGGCCCUCAGCCAGGCCUGGGCCCACCUCCUAGUCCCUCCCGCCGCAGCACUCCCACCCCAGCCAGCACCACCUCGAGUUGUCCUCAG
Long non-coding RNA from Bos taurus (domestic cattle), 422 nucleotides. Lineage: Eukaryota; Metazoa; Chordata; Mammalia; Artiodactyla; Bovidae. The record is from Ensembl.